This 443-nucleotide long non-coding RNA is filed under the name Phoenix dactylifera (date palm). RNAcentral describes it as "long non-coding RNA (PDAC_LNC005749)". Lineage: Eukaryota; Viridiplantae; Streptophyta; Magnoliopsida; Arecales; Arecaceae. The record is from RNAcentral.
AAUAAAGUGGAAAAAGGGAAUGGAUGUGUGUUUGUGAAUUGAUUAAAUGAACAGGGACUUUGGGCUUAUCUCGUUAUUAUUGAUUGCCCCAUCACAGGCUGGAAAUGUGAUAUUAUCGAUUGCCCCAUCACAGGCUGGAAAUGUGAUACCAUUGAUUGCCCCGUCACAGGCCGGAAAUGUGAUACUAUCGAUUGCCCCGUCACGGGCCGGAAACGUGACCGGGAUGUAGCCCAAAGUCGAAAAGAUAAUUGAUCCGGAUCAAGUUAAUAGAGAAUGAAAAGAAAGAGCAUUGAAAACAGUAAUGAAGAUUUAUGAGCUAUCAUAUGCUAUAUCAUUCUUGUGUGGCUGGACUUUCAUUGAUGUUUUACGUACAUAUUUAUAUUGACUAUUUGAGCUUGUUGAUAGCCGGUUUAUGAUUUUAUGACAUGUGCAUUAAUUUCUUG